CGGGGCGUGGCGCAGCUGGCAAGCGCGCAGCGUUUGGGACGCUGAGGUCGGAGGUUCAAAUCCUCUCGCCCCGA
Molecule: transfer RNA, 74 nt
Filed under: Chloroflexota bacterium
Lineage: Bacteria; Bacillati; Chloroflexota
Description: Chloroflexi bacterium (hot springs metagenome) tRNA-Pro
Rfam family: tRNA
About the family: Transfer RNA (tRNA) molecules are approximately 80 nucleotides in length.
Source: RNAcentral